RNAcentral lists this ribosomal RNA (97 nucleotides) under uncultured bacterium. RNAcentral describes it as "partial 16S ribosomal RNA". It matches the Rfam family "Bacterial small subunit ribosomal RNA", at positions 1388 to 1482 of the family's 1533-position model. The record is from RNAcentral.
CACCGCCCGUCACACCAUGGAAGUCGAUUGCUCCAGAAGUGGCUGCGCCAACCCGCAAGGGAGGCAGGUCCCCAAGGAGUGAUCGGUAACUGGGGUG